AACUGCUUGGGACCCACUUGUUAUUUCUUUGCCUAAUUUGAUUCCAUGCGGAUGUGGCACUAAAUUUGCCAUUGUCAUGAGGCCAAAUAAGUAUAUCUGAAGAGUUGUUCCUGAUUGGAAUAACUAUAAUAGUCGGCCAAAGUGAUAACAUUUCGGGAGAAAUAGGAUUAGGGAGACACCAAGUACCGUUAGCAAUGAACUCGGAAACCUUCCAAUCUUUGGGAGCCCCAAGAUCUUUUCGUAUUCUGUCGCCAUAUAAUUGAAAUAUACUCUUCCAUUCAUCCAAGGAUCGUACCACAUAUUAGUACUAGUUCCAGAAGAGAUUGCAUAAGAAAUGUGUUUGAUUAGCCAAUUCCUUGCCUUUAAAAUUCCUUUCCAAGCUGCAGAGUGGUAUGUUCUUGUUGAAAUUU
Molecule: long non-coding RNA, 410 nt
Filed under: Musa acuminata (dwarf banana)
Lineage: Eukaryota; Viridiplantae; Streptophyta; Magnoliopsida; Zingiberales; Musaceae
Description: long non-coding RNA (MACU_LNC009920)
Source: RNAcentral